AGUGGAUCAUACUGGUUACCACCUGGCUGGGAGAACAUUCCUUCAGCAGUAUGCGCAGAUAGUGGGAGUUGGUUGUUAGAGUUUAAGCAUAUCUUUGCUGCUUCACUUUCGUGCUAAUAAAUGACCCUCCCUUGUGUACCUAAUUUCCCUUCACAAGAGAGCUCGUGAUCUCUGGAAUCACUGCGUCCUUGGAAAUUAUGCAGAGUGGACUAUCAGAAAAGCAUGGAUGCAAAGUAUGCCUAUUUCUAUUAUUACAUUCUCCAUUGCUUUAUCUUGGACUUUGGCUGGUGUAUCUUUUAGCUUUGGUUUAGAAUUGUUGGAACAAUUAGCGUCAAUAUUGGUGUUGCCAUUACACAAGAGAACUCAUUGCUUGACAACACUGCUAGAAUUGAGGGUUGGUUAGCCAGAUUCCCUAUGUUUGAUUAGGUGGGCAGAAGAACCUCUGAAAUAUCUACAGUUGGUUUACUUCCAGCUGCACUUCAAGGAAUUGAUAUUAGAGAGAAGCUCGCCGGUGCUGCAUUGAUGGAUGAAGCAAACAAUCUAUUGAUGGAUGAAGCAAAGAGUUUGACCUGGAUGGUAACCGACUAUAUUCAACAACUACGAGAAGGUGCACACAAUUUCUUUGCAACAUUUAUUGAAGGGGGUGUGAAGGUUUAGUGCAAGAAAUGCAAGAUGUUUUAUAGGCUUCAUACAGUGAGAUGUUGAAUGCUCUAUAAACUGACCUACUAUGAAAUUGAUAGUUGAUGAAUAGAAGAUAAUUGAGAUGAAACAAUAUUUUAGCAUUCCACUAAAAAGAACAAGUUUCUGAUGAAUUUGUAAAGAAGUUUUAAUUAUUUAGGCACUG
Molecule: long non-coding RNA, 844 nt
Organism: Solanum stenotomum
Lineage: Eukaryota; Viridiplantae; Streptophyta; Magnoliopsida; Solanales; Solanaceae
Exons: 6
Source: RefSeq, a predicted model, not a curated record